RNAcentral lists this ribosomal RNA (400 nucleotides) under Acinetobacter sp. XB174. RNAcentral describes it as "partial 16S ribosomal RNA". It matches the Rfam family "Bacterial small subunit ribosomal RNA", at positions 64 to 464 of the family's 1533-position model. Lineage: Bacteria; Pseudomonadati; Pseudomonadota; Gammaproteobacteria; Moraxellales; Moraxellaceae. The record is from RNAcentral.
GAGCGGAGCGAGGGUGCUUGCACCUUAGCUUAGCGGCGGACGGGUGAGUAAUGCUUAGGAAUCUGCCUAUUAGUGGGGGACAACAUUCCGAAAGGGAUGCUAAUACCGCAUACGCCCUACGGGGGAAAGCAGGGGAUCUUCUGACCUUGCGCUAAUAUAUGAGCCUAAAUCGGAUUAUCUAGUUGGGGGGGUAAAGGCCUACCCAGGCGACGAUCUGUAGCGGGUCUGAGAGGAUGAUCCGCCACACUGGGACUGAGACACGGCCCACACUCCCACGGGAGGGAGCAGUGGGGAAAAUUGGACAAUGGGGGGAACCCUGAUCCACCCAUGCCGCGUGUGUGAAAAAAGCCUUUUGGGUGUGAAACACUUUUAACGAGGAGGAGGCGCUCUAGGCUAAUAC